Molecule: RNA transcript, 3269 nt
Organism: Dermacentor albipictus
Lineage: Eukaryota; Metazoa; Arthropoda; Arachnida; Ixodida; Ixodidae
Gene name: zwei Ig domain protein zig-8-like
Source: RefSeq, a predicted model, not a curated record
ACAAGCAUCGGACGCGUCCUGCGGUGAAGCGAGCGCUCGCUGCUUCCUCGUGGCUGCUGCCGCCGCUGCUGCACUCCCGGCUCCCGCCGCAGCCGCCUCCUCACGACGCUGUCCCACUUUCUCAGUAGUGCGCGCCAGUGAAGACGAAAAAGGAAGGGGAGAAGACGGGGGCGACGGAAACUUUGCCUCCCGGGCUCGCGCCUGCAGAUAGGACAACGAGGACGCCGGUUAAAGGAGUCAAACGCCGAUAUCCCAGAAGAAGCAAGGCACUACAAACUCGACCUUCCUGCGUGGUUUCUGCAGGGACUGUAUUUAUGUGCCAAAAGGAUUGAGUCAACUGUGCAUCGCUUUCAGGUUUACUGCGCGAGUGGGUGUGAGCGAAAGUGACAAAAGGAGACGCAAGUCGCGUCUACACGACCAUGCCCGUUCAUUCCGUGCGAUAUCGCGUCGCGACGCGUUCUCUCUGACGCACGUGUGAACAGCGUUUGAACGCUUACACGACCGUGCUGGACACGGGCUUGCACGUCGAGCCUGUCCGCUCACUCGUUCCUCCGAAACUGCGAGUUCUCAGUGUAUUGCGCCGUUGUGACUUAUCGGACCAGGCACAUUCGAGUUCCCGAUGAACUUACCCGCUGGCCCGGCAUGAGCCCUCCGAGGAAAAGCUGUGCCAGAGCCGGCCUGCACCGCAGCCCGUUCGGGAUGCGUGGUUGCUGGUACUCCCUCUGCCUCACCAUGUCGUUCGCUUUCUCAGAGAUCACGGCGGAGUUUCUCCUUUCCUCGGAAUACACCACCUCAGAUUCAUCGCGGCAUCUCUCGUCUUCGGCCAUGCUGACGCCGGCUGUCCGGCUGACGACACUGACCGCCACCGAAGACGGAGGCGGCGACGCAACCUCCGAGAGCCUCCGACAACGCAAGGCUGUGGCGGACGAGAGCGAGGCUCGACUUGGCGACGACAUGUGGCCUCCCACGAGUCGCCUGUUCCCAUCCUUUGACAACAGCACGGAGCGCAAUGUCACGUCGCAGCUGGGACAGACCGCCUACCUCCACUGCAUCGUCAACAACCUCGGCGAUAAGACGGUGCUGUGGAUACGCAGACGGGACUACAACGUGCUUACCGUAGGCCUAGACACAUACACGGCUGACGACCGCUUUCAGGCGGUUCACCUGGAGCGUUCUUCCGACUGGGCGCUGCAAGUUCGCUACGUGCAGCUUUCGGACCAGGGUCUUUACGAAUGCCAAGUCUCCUCAGAUCCAAAGAUCAGCUAUUUCGUCAACCUCACUGUCCUGGUGGCAAAAGCCGUCAUCGAAGGUGGUCCAGACCUCUUCAUCCGCACGGGCAGCUCCAUCAACCUGACCUGCGAGAUAAGCCGGAGCCCUGAGCCACCGCAUUUUGUGUUCUGGUACCACAAUGACCGCAUGAUCAACUACGUGUCAGCCAAAGGAGAGAUCACUCUGCACAAAGGUGGCCCCGACAGGACCAUCAGCCGACUGUACAUCCGCAAGGCUGUCUCACUCGACUCGGGAAACUAUACCUGCGACCCGGCCAACGCCGAGCCCGUAUCCAUCAGCGUCCACGUCGUGAACGGCGAGAAGCCAGCGGCAAUGCAGCAUGACGGGAAGCCUCUCUCGUCGUCGAGCCCUCCGGAAGUAGCAACGGUGCUCACUGAGUUCGGUGUCCUCCUUGCCCUCUGCCUCGCCGCUGCGUGUGCCAGGCUGAGGUAACAGAGUUCGGCCUUCUUUGCCCACCGAGCGUCGGAGCCACAGCGUCGACAGCGCGCGAAACAAUCGUCCACAAAAGCUUGUUCUUGUGAAGCGAACACUGCGAUCCUCUGAAUCGAAAGUGACAUCCACGGAGAAUACACGGAUGAUUACACACUAAGGACUGCCUGUCAGGGGACAUUGUCAACAAGGCGACAGAGACUCGUGAGAAACACUCGUGCACAUCACUCAUCGCUGAUGUUUUUUUCUUCGCAGUUGCUAUCUCGUUUGUUUUUUCUUUAUUUUUUUUUCCUUGUCACUUGAUGGCUUGUUUUCUUUGAACUUUGCCGCGACGGUGCAAGUGACUCAAAUGACUGUUCGUGAUACUCGAUGUAUGUUACACAGAAGUUAAGCUUGAGAACUAUAAUAGUGUAUAAUAGAAAAAAAUCAACAACGUAGAAGAGGCCAACUAGCGCAUACAACAUGCUAAAACGGACGACGUGCAGUGACAGUUCAGCAAAAUCGACACAGGAAAGAUCUGCAGUCGAGGAACUCCAAACUUGAAGCCCGCGGCAACUUGUGGACCUGAACAAAACACAGCAUUCCAAUAUUCCUUGAGACCUACAUUCAGCCACUACUUCAAUGGUGCAUUGGUCCUCUUUGUCACGCUCAUCAGGAAACCAUCUCAAAUAUCUGAGCCCCAUUUACUCCAACGGGGCACGUGGUUCUUUGAUUUUCGGUUUCUUGCGACACAUGUGAGCAUCGCAGCGUUGUAAAUGUAGUUCAGAUGCAGCUUUUGUAUAUGCUGUUUAAGUGGCCACUGAUGUGCGCAGCAGCCAACAAUAAUAAGCGCACGAAAAUAAUAAAUCUCGUGCACUUACAUUGUCGGCGAAGGUCGCACGUGAAGCGGGCUAAUGUGCCUGCCAUGUUGUUACGGGUUGUAAUGCUGUUUGAAAAGCACUCUAUCGCUCUGCAUGUAUCGUUAACCUAGGUAUAUUUUACCGUGGUAUGACAUUUUUGUUAAAAAUGUUUUUGCUCGCGAAAACUAAAUGGCAGAAAUUAAUAGCAAACAAUUAAAGUGUGUAACGUUGCUUGCGCUAGAUGUUUGAAGCAACACAAAUUGUACAUAUUAAACCGUAUGCUUUUUGGGCACAUUGACAGACUCAUUCAUGACGAGAUAAAAGGGAAUGCACUGUAAUAAGCGUAACACGAAACUCCAGAGCUUUGUAAAUAUCAGCGGCAAGUCUUAGUUGCAUCUUCAAUGCAGCCAGCUUGCUAAACUUUCUUCGGGAAAAAAUUCUAGUCGGUGUAAGAAAACUAACGCAUGUAAAACGAAGUAAGUAAUAAGUGCACGUGCUCAACAGUAUUAAGUUAUUUCAAGUGAAUAUAAAUUUGUUUUAAUCAAAAGCCUCCACGAAGAAAUUUUAAUGGGAGUUUUAUACUUAUAGUGUGAGAAAAAAAUGACACAUAUAUGCUCAACAUUAUUGGAAUUUGUUCUGCUGUUUCGAAUCGCCCGAGUACUCAAUCAUGUAUGUGUGGCCACAUUUCAACUUACAGAGUCAAGUUGGUUA